UUUGCUUUGGCUGACAUGCCCACAUCCUCUGCCCCACGCAGGCUGUUACAGGCGCUGGAACGCGGACGGGAGCGCCAGCUGCGUCCGCUGUGGGAACGGAACCCUCCCAGCCUACAACGGCUCCGAGUGUAGAAGCUGUAGGUCUGCCUGGCUCCCCCCGGCUCCCUUCUCACAGCUCCAGCUGUGGGAGACACUGUGGAAGUUGCUGUCAGUGUCCCCACCUUGCCCCAGAGCCACUGUCCCCUGGGGAACAGCCCUGGGAGCCCCCUCUUCCCGAGUCCACUGGGCCACUCAGGACAGCUCUGUGUUGAGGGCUGCUCCGCCCCCUCAGCCCCUCGCUUUCAUAUUUCUGGCCUGAGAUCCCCUUCAGGGUGCGCGUGGGUGUCCCUAUGGGCUCCGUGCACACAGGCUUCCCACAGCUCUGCUCUCCCACAGUCGCUGGCCGGGGUGCGCCAUUCCCCAUGAACAGAAGCUCAGGGACCCCCGGGCGGCCACAUCCUGGGGCUUCGCGCGUGGCCGCCUCCCUCUUCCUGGGCACCUUCUUCAUCAGCUCCGGCCUCAUCCUCUCCGUAGCUGGGUUCUUCUACCUCAAGCGCUCCAGUAAACUCCCCAGGGUCUUCUACAGAAGAAACAAAGCCCCGGCCCUGCAGCCUGGCGAAGCCGUAAGUAACCCGUGUCAUCCGGGCUGAGUGUCCCCGGCCGCGUGUGCCUGUGCUGGGCCAUCCCAAGUCCUCACUCUGCCUUUCUCUCCUUUUCAAGGCUGCAAUGAUCCCCCCGCCACAGUCCUCAGGUAACAGCAGCUGUCGCAUCCCCCUGUGGGGUUUCCCAUCUCUGGGCCAGUCCCAGGGUGCUCUGUGGGUUUGUCCUCAAACAAACGUGUUUGCCUGGCUCUGGAUCUUGGCCGCCCCUGCCCGGGUCCCCGGGAGACCCACCCACGAGGCAGGGCCAGGGCCAGAUUUGGCGGUGCCCCCUGCUCUGGAUCUCAGCUGGAUUUGGCCGGUGCCCCCUGCCCGCCCCCUUUAAUCCCCGUGACUUCCAUGCUCUUUCCUGUUCCUGAGAAGUGGGGUCUGCAGGAAACGAGGACCCACCAUGACAGGGCAGAUCCCCAAUACCUGCCCCUUCUUUAAGUCCAGCUCCACCCGAGGACAGAGGCAGCCGGCCUCUGCCAGGCCCCCCUGAGCAGCCAUCGCUUCAGUGGUGCUGGGUCAGGCGGACCCAAGAGUCAGCCCGGUUACGACCCAUUUUAUGUGCGGGGCCACGGCCACAGAGAGGCUGAGUGACUGGCCCACGGCCACAGAGAGGCUGAGUGACUGGCCCACGGACACACAGUUCCAAGGCCAUGAGCAGAGUUCACCCAGCCUCCAUCCCCCUGAGCAGAGGUCUCUCAUGGGGGCAGGUGACAGUGCCUCUGGGGACAGACAGUUCUCCAUCAAGGCUGGACCUGCCCCGUCCCUAAAGCAGCCCUGUCUGCAAGUGCCCAGCAGACCCCACGGUGCCCGAGUGCCCCGGGGCUGCCGGCUUCAACAGCAGACCUUUAAUCUGACCGUCCUAGAGUUCAGAAGUCCAAAACCAAGGGGCAGGCAAGGCCACACGCUUCGCGAGGCUCCGGGGAGGACCCUGUCUGCCUUCCCAGCCCCUGCCUGCCUUCCCAGCCCCUGCCGGCUCAGGCGUCUGUGGCUGCGUUGCCUGUCUCUGCCCCCUGGUCCCACGGCGUCUCCCCCACCUCUGCGUCUUCUCUCUCCACCUGCCUCUCAGGUGGGCCCUGGCCGUUGAUUCAGGGCCUGCCCAGGGAACCCUGGGCGAUCACACCUGAGACCCUGAUGUAACCCUCUGCAAAGCCCCUUCUUCUAAAUAAGGUCACAUUCGAGGUCUCGGGGCUACGGCCUGCUUGUCGCCCCCUGAGGUGCAUGAUGCUCUGGGACCCACAUCUCUGUCUUCGGGGAUAGCCUGGCCCUUGUCCAGGCCCCGGGGCCCAGGGUGUAAAUGAGAGGACGCAGCCGGGCAGGAGGAAGCCGUCCCUUUCCCGAGCCGGAGCUCUGAGGGCGCCUUAGGGGCAGGGGGCAUCUGGGUUCCCACCUGGUCAGAGUAAACAGCCCUGGGCGCCUGGCUCCCGAGAGCCUCCGGUGAGGGCUGAGGCCUGCACUGUCCCUGCUGUCCAGGUCCCACUCUGACCCCGCCUGUCUCUGACCCGUUUCAGUACGCAAGCCGCGCUACGUCAGGCGGGAGCGGACCCUGGACGGGGCCACGGACCCCGCUGCCUUCUCGGCGGAGGCCCGUAUCAGCAAUGUCUGACCUGGAGGCCGAGACCGCGCCACACACUUGGCGGCAGGGACCCGGAGGCCGACCCCUUGGCGGGAACCCAGCACAAAGGGUUGGCAUUGCCCGGCGCCUGGGACAGUCCUGGGCACAGCCUCAGCUCUGAGUCCCUCCGUCUCCCAGCGACAGACGCCAAGGGGUCCCGGGCCGCCUGAGGCUCCUUCCCACCACAGCCAUCUCGUUUAUCGGACCAGGAGCAGGCAUCCGUGAGACCUCAGAGCUUCAGAUCAAGGCCUUGGGGGGUCUGGGCCCCCAGGAAAUACGGUGAGGCCCCAGCGCCUGCAGCCAAGAUGGAGGCCUGGCUCAGGCAGCCAAAGCUGGCAUGAUCUGUGGGGCAGGCGCCGCUCUGCCUAGAAAAGCCAGGGGCUCCGCUGCCAUGCCCUCCGGAGCCCACAACGGGCAGGACACCUCCAGCACCACCGCACCCCGUGGCCCGAGACCCCUCUGGGGACAGUGAGGCUGGUCCUCGUGCCGUUCCAGCCGGUGCCCAGCCAGUGGGCAGGAUGCAGCCUAGGAACCAGCUGCCUGAGACCAGGGUGCCUCUGGGCUGUCCCCCUGCGUGGCGGAGACCCCAAGCACGCAGCCACCCAUUUCCGGAGCUGCAGGAUAGAGCUUCCUCUGGAUCUCUUUGUUUUUAAGCAGAAAUUCAUUGUGCAGAAAAGUCCUCCAGAGCUCUGCGGCCCCGCUCGGAUCCGCUGGACCCCCGUGCCUGGCUGAUCCCUGCCCACGUAGGGCAGGCCCACAUCUAACCCCCACAAGUCACUGCCUCACUGGACCUGCUGAGGCUGCCCUGGUGCUGUCUGAGGCGCUGUCUGAGUCCUGGGGUCCCUCCUGGAGUUGCUGGGAGAAAGGCGCCGUUGUGGCCGCCUCCCGCACGCCAGGCUUGGGGCUCCACUGUGGGUCUCAGAUGCCCUGCGGUACCGGCACUGUCUGCUUUAGCAUCGGAUCCCCAUCUGAGGGGUGGCCUGGCCUUCGGGGUCCCCACGUUCCUUUGCGAAGUCCGCUGUGGGUGCCAUCAUGGUCUCCGGGACCUGGGCCAGCGGGAACGUGGGGGGCCCUUAGUGCUGAUAUAAAGUCGGCAUUACGC
RNAcentral lists this small RNA (3403 nucleotides) under Pongo abelii (Sumatran orangutan). Its description in RNAcentral is "retained intron". Lineage: Eukaryota; Metazoa; Chordata; Mammalia; Primates; Hominidae. The record is from RNAcentral.